UUAAAUGUACAUAUAAGGAACAGCUGGAGGAGGACCAAUGAUUAGGAAUAGGAAUGUUGUCCCAUUCGUGUCUAAUAUAGACUUCUAGUUGCUCAACUGUCUUAGGUCUUCUUUGUCGCAUCUUCCUCUUUAUGAUGCACCAAAUGUUUUCUAUGGGUGAAAGAUCUGGACUGCAGGCUGGCCGUUUCAGUAUCCGGAUCCUUCUUCUACGCAGUCUUGAUGUUGUAAUUGAUGCAGUAUGUGGUCUGGCAUUGUCAUGUUGGAAAAUGCAAGGUCUUCCCUGAAAGAGCCGACGUCUGAAUGGGAUCAUAUGGAUCAAGAACUUGGAUAAACCUUUCAGCAUUGAUGAUGCCUUUCCAGAUGUGUAAGCUGCCCAUGCCACACGCACUCAUGCAACCCCAAACCAUCAGUGAUGCAGGCUUCUGAACUGAGCGCUAAUAAUAACUUGGGUUGUCAUUGUCCUCUUUAGUCCGGAUGAAAUGGCAUCCCAGUUUUUCAAAAAGAACUUCAAAUUUUGAUUUGUUGGACCACAGAACAGUUUUCCACUUUGCCAAAGUCCAUUUUAAAUGAGCCUUGCCCAGGGAAAACACCUGUGCUUCUGGAUCAUGUUUAGAUAUGGCUUAUUUUUAGACCUAUAGAGUUUUAGCUGGCAACAGCGAAUGACACGGUGGAUUGUGUUGACUGACAAUGUUUUCUGGAAGUAUUCCUGAGCCCAUGUUAUGAUUUCCAUUACAGUAGCAUUUCUGUAUGUGAUGCAGUGCUGUCUUAGGGCCCGAAGAUCACGGGCAUCCAGUAUGGUUUUCCGGUCUUGACCCUUACGCACAGAGAUUGUUCCAGAUUCUCUGAAUCUUUGAAUGGUAUUAUGCACUGUAGAUGAUGAUAACUUCAAUCUCAUUGCAAUUUUUCUCUGAGAAACUCAGAAAACUAUUUUUCGCCGCAGCAUAGGCUCUGUGCACGCAACUAAGGAGUUCUACUUCCGCCGCCUUGAGUGUAGGGCCGACCGUUUCCGGUCUUAAGAUAUGAAGUAAAGAUGAUAUGAAUCAUGGCGCUGUUUUACACCCAAUUUCUGCAAGAUCUACCAAAGUUAACAAUUACCGACGAUCACCGGCUAGUACAAGCGGCAUGCUCAGCCCCGAGGAGCAAAAAGGAAAAGGAUUAUUAAGUUACAUCGACAACUAUUAAGAUUGUCUUUGAAGAUUGCUCACCAGUUGACAUUUCAGUGGCAGACUGUUCCUGUGUGGCUGGAAGAGCACCCGACUGAGAGCCCACCCUGCCGGAAAAGAAAAAAUGUCCCAACGCAAAGAGUCAUGUAGACUGUAGCUCCUUGAAAAUGCCUGUGUAACGAUGAAAUUAAGCAGACUCACAGCUACUACUGGCAGGUGCAAGGCCAGCCAUCACUUGCAGUGAUGCAGUGAUGUGAUUUUGGUGUUUUUGCAGAGGAGGAUUUUUUUAUACAACACAUUUACUGAGAGACUGUAAGGUGGCUAUAAUAACCAUAAGGGAGAUUAUUUACAUGGAUGUUUGAAUCACUUAUGGCAUGUAAUUUGAUUAAUAUGCACUACAUUUUUCCUCUUUAAUAAAUAUAUUACUUUUAUGUG
Paramisgurnus dabryanus is the source of this 1598-nucleotide non-coding RNA. The record is from RefSeq and is a predicted model, not a curated record. Lineage: Eukaryota; Metazoa; Chordata; Actinopteri; Cypriniformes; Cobitidae.